Molecule: ribosomal RNA, 408 nt
Filed under: uncultured bacterium
Lineage: Bacteria
Description: bacterial SSU rRNA
Rfam family: Bacterial small subunit ribosomal RNA
Source: RNAcentral
UCUUAGUGGCGGACGGGUGAGUAACACGUGAGCACCUGCUGGAGAGAGGGAUAGCUUCUGGAAACGGAUGGUAAUACCUCAUAACAUACAGAGACCGCAUGAUUUCUGUAUCAAAGAUUUAUCACUCUGAGAUGGGCUCGCGUCUGAUUAGCUAGAUGGUGAGGUAACGGCCCACCAUGGCGACGAUCAGUAGCCGGACUGAGAGGUUGAACGGCCACAUUGGGACUGAGACACGGCCCAGACUCCUACGGGAGGCAGCAGUGGGGAAUAUUGCACAAUGGGGGAAACCCUGAAUGCAGCGAUGCCGCGUGGAGGAAGAAGGUUUUCGGAUUGUAAACUCCUGUCUUAAAGGACGAUAAUGACGGUACUUUAGGAGGAAGCUCCGGCUAACUACGUGCCAGCAGCCGC